This 456-nucleotide ribosomal RNA is filed under the name uncultured Verrucomicrobiota bacterium. RNAcentral describes it as "bacterial SSU rRNA". It matches the Rfam family "Bacterial small subunit ribosomal RNA", at positions 29 to 492 of the family's 1533-position model. Lineage: Bacteria; Pseudomonadati; Verrucomicrobiota. The record is from RNAcentral.
ACGAACGCUGGCGGCGUAGAUAAGACAUGCAAGUCGAACGGGGUUAUAAUUGUAGUAAUACAAUUAUAGCUUAGUGGCGAACGGGUGCGUAACACGUGAGCAAUCUGCCGGGAAGUGUGGGAUAGCUCGCCGAAAGGCGAAUUAAUACCGCAUGUGGCUAGGGGUGACAUCACUCCGAAGCCAAAGUCGCAAGACGCUUCCUGAUGAGCUCGCGGCCUAUCAGCUAGUUGGUGAGGUAACGGCUCACCAAGGCAAUGACGGGUAGCUGGUCUGAGAGGACGACCAGCCACACUGGAACUGAGACACGGUCCAGACACCUACGGGUGGCAGCAGUCGAGAAUUUUUCACAAUGGGGGAAACCCUGAUGGAGCGACGCCGCGUGGAGGACGAAGGUCUUCGGAUUGUAAACUCCUGUCAUGCGGGAACAAGAAAGUGAUAGUACUGCAAGAGGAAGAG